CGAAGGUAGCAUAAUCAGUAGUCUUUUAAUUGAAGGCUGGUAUGAAUGGUUGGAUGAAAUAUUAACUGUUUCAUUUAAAUUUUUUAUAGAAUUUUAUUUUUUAGUUAAAAAGCUAAAAUUUUUUUAAAAGACGAGAAGACCCUAUAAAUCUUUAUAUUUUAUUUUUAUUAAUUAUUUAGGUAAAUUUAAUUAUUAAAAAUUAAAAUAUUUUAUUGGGGUGAUAUUAAAAUUUAAUAAACUUUUAAUUUUUAAAUACAUAAAUUUAUGAUUUUAUGAUCCAUUAUUAAUGAUUAAAAAAUUAAGUUACUUUAGGGAUAACAGCGUAAUUUUUUUGGAGAGUUCAUAUCGAUAAAAAAGAUUGCGACCUCGA
RNAcentral lists this ribosomal RNA (370 nucleotides) under Anthomyza concolor. RNAcentral describes it as "partial 16S large subunit ribosomal RNA". Lineage: Eukaryota; Metazoa; Arthropoda; Insecta; Diptera; Anthomyzidae. The record is from RNAcentral.